GGACCCGCGCCGUAUUAGCUAGUUGGUAAGGUAACGGCUUACCAAGGCGACGAUACGUAGCCGACCUGAGAGGGUGAUCGGCCACACUGGAACUGAGACACGGUCCAGACUCCUACGGGAGGCAGCAGUAGGGAAUCUUCCGCAAUGGGCGAAAGCCUGACGGAGCAACGCCGCGUGAGUGAUGAAGGGUUUCGGCUCGUAAAACUCUGUUAUUAGGGAAGAACAAAUGUGUAAGAACUGUGCACAUCUUGACGGUACCUAAUCAGAAAGCCACGGCUAACUACGUGCCAGCAGCCGCGGUAAUACGUAGGUGGCAAGCGUUAUCCGGAAUUAUUGGGCGUAAAGCGCGCGUAGGCGGUUUCUUAAGUCUGAUGUGAAAGCCCACGGCUCAACCGUGGAGGGUCAUUGGAAACUGGGAAACUUGAGUGCAGAAGAGGAAAGUGGAAUUCCAUGUGUAGCGGUGAAAUGCGCAGAGAUAUGGAGGAACACCAGUGGCGAAGGCGACUUUCUGGUCUGUAACUGACGCUGAUGUGCGAAAGCGUGGGGAUCAAACAGGAUUAGAUACCCUGGUAGUCCACGCCGUAAACGAUGAGUGCUAAGUGUUAGGGGGUUUCCGCCCCUUAGUGCUGCAGCUAACGCAUUAAGCACUCCGCCUGGGGAGACACCGCAAGGUUGAAACUCAAAGGAAUUGACGGGGACCCGCACAAGCGGUGGAGCAUGUGGUUUAAUU
RNAcentral lists this ribosomal RNA (730 nucleotides) under Staphylococcus xylosus. Its description in RNAcentral is "bacterial SSU rRNA". It matches the Rfam family "Bacterial small subunit ribosomal RNA", at positions 227 to 951 of the family's 1533-position model. Lineage: Bacteria; Bacillati; Bacillota; Bacilli; Caryophanales; Staphylococcaceae. The record is from RNAcentral.